GACGAACGCUGGCGGCGUGCUUAACACAUGCAAGUCGAACGAUGAUGAAGAGAAACGCGAACUUCGGUUCAAAUUUCACUUCGGAUUAGUGGCAGACGGGUGAGUAACGCGUGAGCAACCUACCUCUUACAAAGGGAUAGCCUCGGGAAACCGUGAUUAAUACCAUAUGACACAUUCAUAAGGCAUCUUAAGAAUGUUAAAGCUACGGCGGUAAGAGAUGGGCUCGCGUCCCAUUAGCUAGUUGGUGAGGUAACGGCCCACCAAGGCGACGAUGGGUAACCGGCCUGAGAGGGUGAACGGUCACAUUGGAACUGAGACACGGUCCAAACUCCUACGGGAGGCAGCAGUGGGGAAUAUUGCACAAUGGAGGGAACUCUGAUGCAGCGACGCCGCGUGAGCGAUGAAGGAAUUCGUUUCGUAAAGCUCUGUUCUAUGGGAAGAAAAGGACUGUACCAUAGGAGAAAGCCCCGGCUAAAUACGUG
This 482-nucleotide ribosomal RNA is filed under the name uncultured bacterium. Its description in RNAcentral is "partial 16S ribosomal RNA". It matches the Rfam family "Bacterial small subunit ribosomal RNA", at positions 28 to 507 of the family's 1533-position model. The record is from RNAcentral.